Long non-coding RNA from Megalobrama amblycephala (Wuchang bream), 1328 nucleotides. RefSeq lists it as uncharacterized. The record is from RefSeq and is a predicted model, not a curated record. Lineage: Eukaryota; Metazoa; Chordata; Actinopteri; Cypriniformes; Xenocyprididae. The transcript is spliced from 5 exons.
AGCAGACUGUAGUUUUUUGAAAGAGUAUAACAGUUUAUUCCUCAUAUUGAUAGUGAAUUUAAAAACUGUGUGAUUAAGAUUUGCAGAUAGAGGAAUUAGAUUUAGCUGUGAAAAACCUCAAGUUAAACAAAUCACCUGAUCCUGAUGGAAUACACUGUUAGACAUUUCUGUAAUUUCUACAGUUAUUUACCAUAUAUCACCCAGUAUUAUAGGCCCUACUGCUAAUUCUCUUUACAGUAAAUAACUGUGAUUCCCUUUGCAUCAUGGGAAUUUUCUGUGACGUUACACACUACAUACAGCGAUUUACUGUAUUUUUUAAAUUUGCAGUAUAUUACUGUAUUUGCUGUAACGGAUCCUCUGGCUCCAUUUUUUUAUUUUCUUCUUUUUGUACAUUUGGUUUGACAUUAUUUGCCUUACACCGCGUGUCUACAACGAUAACAGCCCGUGGCUGUCUUUAUUGGACACAUUGAAGCUACCGGAUCUUUACAAAAUGCAAACCUGUUUGUCCCUUGUGUCAGAAAUAGCGCGAGCGCUUGGACUCGGACUCGGAGUAGGCUACCGUACAUAUAACGGGGCAUCAGUAACGUUAUACUGUCUGGGAUUUGUCGUGUCGCGCCGGAGCAUUCAGUACAAACAACAGUGAUUGUAAUGGGUUCUGUCUUUUGUUGAAUCGCGUCGUUCGCGUCCGGGGUAGAGACGGAACCACCGCGGCAGCGCCACAGUCUGCGGCCGGUGUACCGAUGCACCCCGUGAAGACUUAUCCCCGAGAGAGAGAGAGACCAGCAAACAAGGUCUCAAUUGCAACAAAGCGCCGGUGACUGCUAGCAAGAUUUCUGAGCAAAUGAACCAAUCAGAAGAUGGACCAUUUUCUAUGUUCAGUCUCACCAGAUUACAUUUAUCCAGGUAAGCACUGCAUUAAAACUCUCACUAAAUCAUUCAUACCAAAUUUAGCGUUCUAAACAACUUUAGUUUAUACUUUUGAAUUAUUUUGAUCUUUUAUUAGGCCGAAGACUCUACCAUUGCAGUCCCAACUGACCAGGAAGGUCCUAAUAUCAGUGCACAGCUCCCCCUUCCCUCCAGACAGGCUGAAAUUGGCUAAAUCGUCGAUUACAAUCUUUCUCUCUAUGGAUCUCAGCAUUUUUGGACAGAAUUUAGGAUAUACUAAUGCCUCAACUGCCUGUAACUGAUCUCUACCUGUGAAAUACCUGUACCUCUGCGGCUUAUUUUGAUCAAUACAUCCUCUAAACCUGAUGACCUUCUCCUCUUCCUUAUAUAAAGUUGUGCUCUGACCGGCUUCACUCAUAUAAUUAUAAUUAAAUCAGAUCCUG